UACAGAGGUCUCAAGCGUUGUUCGGAUUCAUUGGGCGUAAAGGGCUCGUAGGCGGCCAACUAAGUCAGAUGUGAAAUCCCCGGGCUUAACCUGGGAACUGCGUUUGAAACUGGAAGGCUAGAGUGUGGCAGAGGGGGGUGGAAUUCCACGUGUAGCAGUGAAAUGCGUAGAUAUGUGGAGGAACACCGAUGGCGAAGGCAGCCCCCUGGGCUAACACUGACGCUCAUGCACGAAAGCGUGGGGAGCAAACAGG
Molecule: ribosomal RNA, 253 nt
Filed under: uncultured bacterium
Lineage: Bacteria
Description: partial 16S ribosomal RNA
Rfam family: Bacterial small subunit ribosomal RNA
Source: RNAcentral